GACGAACGCUGGCGGCGUGCUUAACACAUGCAAGUCGAACGGAAAGGCCCUGCUUUUGUGGGGUGCUCGAGUGGCGCACGUGUGAGUAACCCGUGAGUCACCUUCCCUUUACUUUUGGAUAACUUCAGGAGACUGGUGCUAAUACCGGCUACGAGCUCCUGCUGCAUGGUGGUGUUUGGACCGUUUCGUCGGUUGUGGAUGGACUCGCGGCUUAUCAGCUUGUUGGUUGGGUAGUGGCUUAGCAAGGCUUGGAAGGGUAGCCGGCCUGAGAGGGUGACCGGCCACAUUGGGACUGAGGUACGGCCCAGACUCCUACGGGAGGCAGCAGUGGGGAAUAUUGCACAAUGGGCGGAAGCCUGAGGAAGCAACGCCGGGUGCGGGAUGAAGGCCUUCGGGUUGUAAACCGCUUUCACCUGUGACGAAGCGUGAGUGACGGUAAUGGGUAAAGAAGCACCGGCUAACUACGUG
Molecule: ribosomal RNA, 468 nt
Filed under: uncultured bacterium
Lineage: Bacteria
Description: partial 16S ribosomal RNA
Rfam family: Bacterial small subunit ribosomal RNA
Source: RNAcentral